CUACGGGAGGCAGCAGUAGGGAAUCUUCGGCAAUGGGGGCAACCCUGACCGAGCAACGCCGCGUGAGUGAAGAAGGUUUUCGGAUCGUAAAGCUCUGUUGUAAGAGAAGAACGUGUGUGAGAGUGGAAAGUUCACACAGUGACGGUAUCUUACCAGAAAGGGACGGCUAACUACGUGCCAGCAGCCGCGGUAAU
This 194-nucleotide ribosomal RNA is filed under the name uncultured microorganism. Its description in RNAcentral is "partial 16S ribosomal RNA". It matches the Rfam family "Bacterial small subunit ribosomal RNA", at positions 339 to 524 of the family's 1533-position model. The record is from RNAcentral.